This 551-nucleotide ribosomal RNA is filed under the name uncultured Glomeromycotina. RNAcentral's name for it is "SSU rRNA". It matches the Rfam family "Eukaryotic small subunit ribosomal RNA", at positions 548 to 1098 of the family's 1831-position model. Lineage: Eukaryota; Fungi; Glomeromycota. The record is from RNAcentral.
UUGGAGGGCAAGUCUGGUGCCAGCAGCCGCGGUAAUUCCAGCUCCAAUAGCGUAUAUUAAAGUUGUUGCAGUUAAAAAGCUCGUAGUUGAACUUCGGGGUCUACCCAUUGGUCAGGCUUAAUUGUCUGCACUGGUGAGAUGGAUCUCUACCUUCUGAGGAACUUUCAUGCCAUUUAUUUGGUGUGAUGGGAAAUCAGGACUGUUACUUUGAAAAAAUUAGAGUGUUUAAAGCAGACUAUCGUCUGAAUACAUUAGCAUGGAAUAAUGAAAUAGGACGGACUGAUUCUAUUUCGUUGGUUUCUAGGAUCACCGUAAUGAUUAAUAGGGAUAGUUGGGGGCAUUAGUAUUCAAUUGUCAGAGGUGAAAUUCUUGGAUUUAUUGAAGACUAACUACUGCGAAAGCAUUUGCCAAGGAUGUUUUCAUUAAUCAAGAACGAAAGUUAGGGGAUCGAAGACGAUCAGAUACCGUCGUAGUCUUAACCAUAAACUAUGCCGACUAGGGAUCGGACGAAGUUAAUUUUAUAAUGACGCGUUCGGCGCCUUACGAGAAAC